GAUGAACGCUGGCGGCGUGCUUAACACAUGCAAGUCGAACGGAAAGGCCAGUGCUUGCACUGGUACUCGAGUGGCGAACGGGUGAGUAACACGUGGGUGAUCUGCCCUGUACUUCGGGAUAAGCUUGGGAAACUGGGUCUAAUACCGGAUAGGACAACUUUUUGGAUAUUGUUGUGGAAAGCUUUUGCGGUAUGGGAUGAGCUCGCGGCCUAUCAGCUUGUUGGUGGGGUAAUGGCCUACCAAGGCGUCGACGGGUAGCCGGCCUGAGAGGGUGUACGGCCACAUUGGGCCUGAGAUACGGCCCAGACUCCUACGGGAGGCAGCAGUGGGGAAUAUUGCACAAUGGGCGCAAGCCUGAUGCAGCGACGCCGCGUGGGGGAUGAAGGCCUUCGGGUUGUAAACUCCUUUCGCUAGGGACGAAGCGUAAGUGACGGUACCUGGAGAAGAAGCACCGGCUAACUACGUG
RNAcentral lists this ribosomal RNA (466 nucleotides) under uncultured bacterium. RNAcentral's name for it is "partial 16S ribosomal RNA". It matches the Rfam family "Bacterial small subunit ribosomal RNA", at positions 28 to 507 of the family's 1533-position model. The record is from RNAcentral.